Daktulosphaira vitifoliae (grape phylloxera) is the source of this 1707-nucleotide long non-coding RNA. RefSeq lists it as uncharacterized. The record is from RefSeq and is a predicted model, not a curated record. Lineage: Eukaryota; Metazoa; Arthropoda; Insecta; Hemiptera; Phylloxeridae. The transcript has 7 exons.
GAUUAUUAAUCGAGACGUGAGAUUGGUAAUUUUAUAGCGAUUAUGAUUAACAUAGAUUAUAAAUUGUCGAUAUUUUAACGGUCAUUGUGGUGUUAUUUAAUUUGAUUUUGUAAUUUUUAAAUGGUGGUUGUCAUGUCCUAACGAAUGCUUCUAUGGCCAGACCCGUUGGUUAAGAGUGCUGGCUUUAAUCGACAACGGAUAUAUUAAAUGGAUGGCAUUUGUUGUACGCUAGGUAUGCUUCAAUAACGGCUCAGCCUAUUGACCAAGAGUGCUGGCUCUAAUGGAUAACAGAUUUAUUACAUGGGCAAUCCAUUUUUUGUUAAAUUAAAUUAGUUUACUAUGAUACUGUUGUGUCCGGAUGAAUAUGAUGGAGAUUGCUGAUGGUUUUAGAUUUAUUGCACAGAUAGACUGCUAUUAUUUUGUUCUCUUCUUGGUGACUUCUCGCCGCCAAACAUAGCUUGGAGAAGACCGCUAUUGGCUCUCGGAGUUUAUCAAAAGCGCAUACAGAUAUUUCCAUUGAUUGUACUUUAAUUAUAAUACAAAAAAACUGUUUUUUUUUUUUUUAAAAGAAAAACUUUUUUUGUAUGUAAAUAUAUAUUAUAUAAAUAUUAUAUGGGGAAAAAAAAAUAUAUGUUUUACUCUACUUUAGCUGAAGAUGAUCAAGACUAUUUGAUUGAAAAUGAAAUAUCUUCCUCAGAAGAAGAAGAAGAGAUUGGAGAAGAAGAAAUAGUUUUGAAUACAUUAAUAAAUAACACAGAGAUAGAGGAGCACUAUAAAUAUGCCAUGAAUAAAAAAAUAUUCUUAAAAGAUGGACGAUAUUAUCCUUACAAGAAGAAACCUAUUGGUAUAGUUAGGGCGUUAAGAUGAGAGCAAUUUGUUUAAUAUUUAAAAAAAAAAAAAAAAAGCUUACAAUUAUUUCCCUUGUAAGAUUUUAAAUUUAAUAAAAUAUAAUAUUUUUAUUUUAUACAAUUCUGUCGUAUUUAUUUACACUAUAUGUAUUUGUGCAUAAUGAUUAUAAUAUUAAAUAUAAGUCUGUAGUAAUAAGCAGUACAAAGAUGAGUUUUACACAUUAAAUAUAUACAGCAAAUUUAGUAUACGCUAUGGUAUUUGUAGCACGUUGUACUAUGUAUGGUAUGUAGUAGGCUAUUUAUAAAAGUAGUAGGGACACUGUGUCGGUUUACCGAACAGUGAUCCUGGAAUCGUAUAAUCUCGAUUUAACAAGUCUGAACAUGUUAAAACCUGUCUGAACGCAUUCAAAUCCCUGUUCAUCCUGUUUGAACCCCGUCUCAACGUGUUUACAAUCGUUUGUACCAUAUUUAUCGGCAACAAUUAGACUAAUUAUUGCUAUUGAGUUUAAAUUAGUUAAUAAUUUCAUCGUGAUAUAUGCAUAGCGCUAUACGUUAUAGGGGUUUCCAUAUAAAUGGAUGUUGCUUUAAACUUGUGUAUGGUACGCGUUGAGUACGUGUUUGAUGUGCUGCAUUCUCUAUACGCAAAACUUACGUCACUGACUUUGAAAACGAAUUCGAUUGUUUGGUACGCGGUGAAGAUUCGAUAAUGGAACACAAGCGUAAAAGUCCUCAAUGUCACUUCUUUAGAGACAGUUCAGCGUAUGAUGUUUGUGGCUUGUACGGUUUUCCACCCUCUGCAAUUAGCUCUAGUAUGAAAGCCGCAAAUUUACUAGAAAUGGUCCGUCAAAUUAAAACUCCU